Small nuclear RNA from Otolemur garnettii (small-eared galago), 107 nucleotides. Lineage: Eukaryota; Metazoa; Chordata; Mammalia; Primates; Galagidae. The record is from Ensembl.
GUGCUCACUUCGGUAGCACAUAUACUAAAAUUGGAACCAUACAGAGAAGAUUAGCAUGGCUCCUGUGCUAGGAUGACGUGCAAAUUUGUGAAGCGUUCUAUAUUUUC